This is a long non-coding RNA of Gallus gallus (chicken), 602 nucleotides long. NCBI's taxonomy places the organism in Eukaryota, Metazoa, Chordata, Aves, Galliformes, Phasianidae. The record is from Ensembl.
GUGGGUGACUGACUUUACUUCUUAACUGCUUUUGACGCUAUUUUUUUUCUGCUGUAUGGAUUAAGAUUCUUUUUCUUCCAGAGGCUAUCAGUGUGUCUCCUAACCCUUCAUGACUCUGAAUCAUUUCAUAAUGCUCAGCUUCCAGCGCUGCUUUGCCUCCUGACACCACAAGUACCCCCACAUUUCCUGUGACCGAUCAGUUUGCAAUGUUUUACCCCUUGUAGAGGAGCUCUCAUCAUGCUGCCAACUGCAGUUCUCACAGAAUAGCUCUGAAGAUUUCAAUAACACAGAAUAUCAUCUUUUUUUGCUUCCUAAUAGCUGAGUAUGGCCCUCUAACUGUUAGAAGCAGAGAAUGGCUUUUCCACUCCUGAGGUCUCAUUUCUUUUUGGCAUGUCAAGCAUAUGCUUCCAUAAAAUUGGAGGUGGAUGGUGUGCAUAAAGCUGCAACUCUAUGAAGUACCUCCCAUUGGCUGAACAAAGCCUAAAAUUUUCAGUCUCAUCAUUUCUCCAAAUUUGGAAUGGAUUUUUCAAGUGGACAGAAGAAGCAUCCCCUGACAAUGAGAGGAUGCCCUGCCAAAUUUCAAGCCUUUGCUCCAAAGCUUG